GCCUGACAUUGGGAAAGGAGCUGUGUGGUCACUGAAUGGUGAGUACUGUUUCCUGCUCUUCAGAAACUGCGGAGGGGUAGGCAAGGAGCAGAGCUGGCAGUGCAACCAGUGCAUCUGACUGCCAAAUGUCUGUCUCAUAAACAUCCAGACACCUACACCAGAUACUGUCUGGACCCUGAGGAAGAUACUGGCUGAGUGCUGUAUAGUGAUCCUCAGCAGUGGUGAGACAGCUUCCAGAUGAAAGAGCCGAUGCCCAUGCAUCUAAGUCUGUGCUGAGUUCACCCUUUAGCUGCUGAAGUAGACAACUGACCUCAGAGAACCACUGGCUGUUGAAGGGACAUUUCUGGAAGCCGGUAAGCCUAAUGUUGAUUAUCAUCUGGCAAAAGAAUUGAGGAGGUGGCACUCACCAGUUUGAAAGCUCAUGCUCGUCAUCUCUGUGGGAGACUGAUGCAGGAUCUCUCAUACAACCGAGCCAAGCAGCUGGGUUCCCAGAGCAGAAGGCAGAUCGGGGUUCAGCUCCAAGACAUCCUGCUGGGAAGCAUGUUCUUUCUAGGAUAUGGCAUCCCUAAAAUCAGCCUUGAAGCUGACCUGCAAAAUGAGCUGAGAAGUCCUGGGAAAUUCUCGAUCCCUGUGAGAAAGCAAGUAACAUCUCACUAAUAUACCACAAAGAGGUGCUCUAAACCCGCAGUAGCUGUUGAGAUCAACUCUACCAAGAACAGAUAGGACUGCUGUAAGCUUGCCUUAAGGUAGGGUUUUCUGAUUUUACUACUCUGUUUUUAAAAAAAAAAUAUUUCCCAUGGCAGUCACUGCAAUAAAACCUGUGUCCAGCAGUCA
RNAcentral lists this long non-coding RNA (834 nucleotides) under Calidris pugnax (ruff). RNAcentral's name for it is "lncRNA (ENSCPUG00000003438.1)". Lineage: Eukaryota; Metazoa; Chordata; Aves; Charadriiformes; Scolopacidae. The record is from RNAcentral.